UUAAAGGGCUGCAGUAUAUUGACUGUACAAAGGUAGCAUAAUCAUUAGUCAUUUAAUUGAUGACUUGUAUGAAGGAUUGGAUGAAAUAUAAACUGUCUCUUAAUUAUAUUUAGAAUUUAAUUUUUUAAUUAAAAAGUUAAAAUAAAUUAGAAAGACGAGAAGACCCUAUAGAGUUUUAUAGGUAAAAUUAAUUGAGAUUAUUUGUAAAGAUUAAAAUUAAGAUUAAUUUAUUUAUUUUGUUGGGGUGACAGAAAAAUAUGAAAAACUUUUUAUAUGUUUAAAACAUUAAUAAGUGGUUAAAUGAUCCAGUAUUAUUGAUUAUAAGAAAAAAUUACCUUAGGGAUAACAGCGUAAUUUUUUUUUUUAGUUCAUAUAAAAAAAAAAGUUUGCGACCUCGAUGUUGGAUUAAGAUAAAAUUUAAAUGUAGAAG
Molecule: ribosomal RNA, 430 nt
Filed under: Sesamia nonagrioides (Mediterranean corn borer)
Lineage: Eukaryota; Metazoa; Arthropoda; Insecta; Lepidoptera; Noctuidae
Description: partial 16S ribosomal RNA
Source: RNAcentral